Molecule: small RNA, 127 nt
Filed under: Marmota monax (woodchuck)
Lineage: Eukaryota; Metazoa; Chordata; Mammalia; Rodentia; Sciuridae
Source: RNAcentral
GCUGGACGUGGUGGCACACGUCUGUAAUCCCAGCAGCUCAGGAAGCUGAGGCAGGAGGAUCGCAAGUUCAAAGCCAGCCUCAGCAACUUAGCAAGACCUUAAGCAACUCAGUGAGACCCUGUCUCUA